Long non-coding RNA from Malania oleifera, 832 nucleotides. RefSeq lists it as uncharacterized. The record is from RefSeq and is a predicted model, not a curated record. The transcript has 2 exons. Lineage: Eukaryota; Viridiplantae; Streptophyta; Magnoliopsida; Santalales; Ximeniaceae.
AUUGUAUGUGGAAAGGAAAAGUGGGGUAGAUAAAGAAAAAGAAGAAGAGAAAAAGAUAGAAAUAGAAAGAAAAAGGAGAGAUAUAAAAGAAAGUGGGUAAAAUAUCUUAUACAAGGCCAGUUCCAUAUUACUUUGUAAUUCCUCCCGAAAUAGUGAAACUUUGAUCCAAUCCGUCUACUACAUAUAUCAAAAUUAUGUAAAAUCUUUUGUCUUUAUAUACAUCAUUUUAUAACAAAAAUCAUAUUUAUUGGUAAAAAAUAACUCUAGACCACGGCUAGUACACAGCGUUAAAAUGUGUCCAGGAAGAUGCAUUAUUACCGGGGAUCUGGUUCUCGCGAUGGUGUCGUUCGAGAGAUUUAUAGAACUCUGCACAGGAGUGUUAAAACGAUGAAGGGCGGUCGAGAAGUCUCCCCCACAGCCACCCUCACAGGCAGGCGCUUCCUUCCUCGGUAGGCCUAGCUGUGGCGCCGCCGCCUCCACGGUCUGCUGGCGCGAGGACAAGUAGGACAUUGUUGGCGUGAUGCAUGCCUGUCCCUAUGAAAGGGGGCACGAGUGCCAUGUACCAAGGUGUUACCGUUGAAGCGACGGACGCCCAACUUAUCAUGUGUUCAAAAGCUGGUGGAGAAGUGGACAGACUCUUUACCAUCAGUUGGACUCUUACAGCCUGAUACGGUGUCUUUAAAAUCCAAAGGCAGCAAUUUGUUUUUGUGAAAGAUAAUUGUAAAUACGGCAUACCAAUGAAAUAGUCAGCUGUCGUGAAUGUUUAAAAUCUCUGUUCAUUUCUUUGUUGCGAGAUUAAUUGCAAUCGACCAACAUUUCCAGUUGCCUGCAA